AGGGUUGUGUGGAUUUCCAUUGUCAAAGAAAUGCAUAACUGAUGAAGCAUCGGAAUCUUCAAAGGAAGCGGAUGAAGAGUUUGAUGGUGGAUUUGAUUGGAAAAUCACAUUGAUGGGAUAUGGAUGUGGAUUGGUUAUUGGGUUGUCUCUUGGGUGUCUCAUUUUCUUAACUGGGAAACCUAAACGGUUUGUCUGGUUUAUUGAAGAGAACAUUCACAAAAAGAUCAGAAGAUCUACAAGGAGCACUUGUAGGCAAGGAGCAAGAAGAAAUUAAUUCGUUCCACUCCCAUUUUAUUAUGUGUUGCAUAUAACAAAUGGCUUUUACAUUCUUAUGUUAGCAAAUAAUUUAUAUUGUCAUUAUACAAGUGCAAUCUUGUUUAUAAAGUUAAAAUAAUGUCUUUUUCCUUAUUAUUAUUAUUAUUAUUGUUUUGUGAUAAUGCAAUAGUCAUUCGUAUAGUAUUUUUCCAAUCAAUAUGGUAACUUAAAACUCAAAAAGCAAUUGUCAUAUCUUGGAAACCAUACACUAACAAAUAAGUAUUAAAGAGUUAGGAGACAUUUGGAUACAUUUCCAUUUUUUAUCAAAUAGGCGGUAACAUCAUAUGUUCUACUUUAGUUGCCCUUGAUCACUUUUUGGGAUGACAGUCAGUCUUCUCACCAUGGGUCUUCUCACCAAUAGGGAUCUAGAUGAGUGAGACCUCAAGUUCAAACCAAUAAAUGAUUCAAUUCCUCCAAUUGACAUGGUUCCAACUGAUCGAUUUGUUGUUCCUACCUUCCAAUCCCCAAUCAAUGUAAGGCAAAGUUAAGGAGUGCCUUUUUUCUCAAGCCAACACUCAAAUGUGAUAAUCCAUAGGAAAGAAAGGCUGAUUUUUCUAGUAUGCCUAAUCGUUAACCCUUCUCUCUCUUUCUUUAAUUAAAUCCUUUGGUUCCUUCUUUUAAAAAGAGUUGUCCUCCAUCCUCUUGUAAACAACCAUUUAGUCUUUUCAUUACAUCCCAAUUUAUUUAAAAACCUUAAUUAGGAAAAGAACAAGAAUCUUGUUUAUAUUUCAAUAUGUAUAGAAGAGAUUAUUUUCAACUAGUAUUUGUUUUUAUUAAAAACAUGCAUGGGAGCCAAUUUGUUCAUGGCCCAAGUUUAGGCCACAACAAGAUAGAAUCAGUGCUGCAACCUAAGGGCCGAAGCUAGCUUUAACUUAAGAUCCAUGAGUCAGAGCCCAAGCCCAAUUGGCAUUUUCUUUGGAAAUGUACAACAUUAGCCCCAUUAUUAUUAGUGAUGUAUGCCAAAUAUUUAAAUAAAUUUAAUACUUGUUAUAGAUAUUUAGGGAAAGAAACGUAACUAAAUUAUAUGAUUUAACAUUUUUCAAUCAAGUUGAUUUUAAUAAAUAAGGAUGUACAUCCACUCCAUGCACAAAAUCAAUAAAUAAAAAGGAGAAGAGGUCAACUAUAAAAGGUAAUAAUAAUAAUAAUAAUAAAUUGGUGCAUGAUAUUUGAAAAACCAGUUAAUGAAAAUGUUUAUCAUUAUAUUAUGCAAAGAAAAUUGCACCCAUUUUAAUUGGUAAAUAACUCUAUUUUUCUAAGCUAGCAAAAUUUUCUAUGGUAUAGUGGUGAAAUAAAAAAUGUUAAAAUGCUUAUUAUUCUCCUUAGAAGGUGUAGCAUAGGAUGGCAAUUUCAACCAAUAACUUUCUUGAAUUUUUUUUUUAAAUAUUAUUUUUUAUAUAACAUUACAAAGUAAUAUUAGUAUUUCUUGAAAAGGAAAAUUAAUAAUUAAAAAAAUUAAAAUUAAAUAUCAAAACUUAUAACCAUUUUGUUUUAUCAUGAAGUCUCAUUCUUCUUUUAAUAUAUAUGUAAAUAUUUAAAAUAUUUGUGAAUUACUAUAAUUGAAAAAUUAUUGUAUCUUAUAUUUCUUAUAUGAACAUCAUAGAAAAUUGUCCUUCUAAUCAAUUAGAUAAUCAAGUUAAUAUAAUUAUAGUAUUUUUAUCCUUGACUCAAUAGACAUCUCAACCAACGUCUCCAAUCUUAAAAACUUUUAAAUUGUGUUAGAAGAUAGGUUAUUAAGCUUUUUUCUUCUAAAAUAUAUUUUUUCUUCUAAAAAUAAAAUAAAAUUGUAUAUCAUUAUAUAGAAAUAUUUAUAUUUAACAAUUUAAAAUUUGAAAUUGAGUAGUCAAAACUCAUAAUUAUAAUAUUAGCAUUUUUUUUUCUAUAUUGAAGUUUGAUCCUUUUUCAAAAAAAAAAAUCUAUUUUUUUGAGUCAAUUAGUCAAUCAAAUUAAUAUAAUUAUUGUAUUUUUAUGGUGAGUCAAAGACAUCUCAAUCAAUAUUAAAAUCUUAAAGGAAAUGCUAUAAACCAUAUUAAUUAACAUCUAUAUUUUCUAAAAAAAAUUAUUAAUAAACAAUGAUAUUCUCAAUUUUUAAAUUUUAAACUAAGCUUAGAAAUUCAAGCACUCUUGGAUGGUAUAAAAUGAAUAUAAUAGGAACUUCAAAAUUAAAAAGCAUAUAUUAGUGUAGACACCCAUUUAGGAGGGUUCUCAAGGAGCCACGUGUCAAUCCAUGGUUGGCUGGUGGAGAAUCAGAUGAUGCUUUUUGAGGAGCUAAUAGAAGGUUGACACUUGUAAAGGGAGAUUCUAGAGGAGGUUUUGCCGUUAGGAGGAGCGUAUUCUAGCCAGCGGGGUAGUGGUGCUUUCAGGGGGUUUUGGAGAGAUAUUUUGAAAAAAAUAAAAGAGUUAGAGCUUGAGGAGCAAGCAAGCUGAGGGGUAGAGGACGGUUUUUCUCUGAGGUUGAGAGAGAGAGAGAUGGAUUUUUAUUUUUAUUUUUGGGAGGAGAUUCAUCUUUCUGGGGGGAGCAUUUUGCAGGUAAAGGUGAGGGACUACAGGAGAUAUUUUGAGAGAGAUUGUUUUUUUAGCUUGAGGGAGAAACUACAGAGGGGAGGUCUUCAAGCUGAGAGUGAGCGAGAGAGAGAGAGUUGUGUGUUUGGAGAGUAGAGGAUGAUAUGCUAUUUCAUUAGUUUCCUUGGUUUUGGAGGAGGAUUUGGGGCGUUUGAAGCUGAUCAGAACCUUACCGAAGAAGGGCACUCUUAGGUAUGAAUGCUACAAGCUUAUUGUUUGAUUUGGCAACUUAUCAUUCCUCUAUAUAUUCUGUCGGUUUUUGAAUGUUUAUUGAUUUGUUUGGGGUGGAUAAUGAAGUGGGCUUUGGUGGGGGGCCACAUAAGAGAAGUUUUAAAACAAAAAUAAGUUUGAGUGAAGUGCAGUGUGAUAUCUAAUGACUUCUUACUCUGUUUAGUGGCAUGUGUGAUAUACAUUGUGUUCAUUAUUGUGCACUAACCCCAUUUUUUGACAGCGUGUUAGUGCUUGCUGCUAAGGUACGCAUACACACUCACUUCGAUCAUUCUCUUUGUAUUGUUAUGAAUCUCGUGCGUGUAACACCAUUUUUGUAUCUCUUGAUCUAUUGGUUAAUUCUCAUACCUGCUUCAUUUUAUUAGUAAAGACCCGUUUUUAGGAACUUAGAGGGAUAUUAUGGUAUUUACCGUACCUUCCCAAUAAGUAACUUGAUUCUCGAGUCCAUAUUUGGUUUUUUUUUAUAGACUACCUUUUCCAAAUAAGGAGUCACACUUAGAGUUUUCUUUCUUAUUUUGUUUACCCUUUAAAAAUAAAACAAAAAUAAGCGGUGAGUCCAAGUUUUUUCUAAAAAUCAUUUUUUUACAAAUAAAUAAAAAAAACGAGUUUCGCUAUUGAGUGUGAAUACAUCGAGCUGAAAUGCAGGGUCCACAAUUACAUACCUACUAUGUUUCAUACAUGAUCUAAAAAAAUAUGAUAUGAUUAUAAUUAUUUGACUUUUGAUACAGAAAAAUUCAAAGUAUAUAUAUAUAUAUUUAGUUUUUUAUAUUAAAAUUAAAUAAAUAAUUGAAAAAAUAAAUGAAAAAUGUGGUUCUAUAAAUGAGCUUUCCUCUCUAAAUUUAAAUAUUUAAGAACGGACUAAAUAAUAAUUUGAUAAAUAGUUGUCUUCCUUCCAAAAUUAGAUUUUGCUUUCACUUUGUAGUGUUUCUAAAAUUGAAUUCUCAAGUGCUCAAUAAUUCUUCCCAUAACUUGUUGAAAAAUAUGUUGGAAGUGCAUCAUGAGCUAAUAAUGACUUUUUUUUUAAUUAUUUUUUUUUAAAAGAAACCAUUAUACACUAGUAUAUACAAAAACCAUGACUGAAAAAUGGAUAAGGUAUAGAAUUUAGUAGAUGAAAGGAAAAAUGAAUGAGAUAAUAAUGAUAAAUCAAAACAUAUAGGUUAUGUUUAGUUCCGAGAAAUUUAAGGAAAAACAUGAGAAAAAUAAAAUAAAAAGAAAAUGUGGAAGGAAAGAAAAAGUUACAACACUUACACAUGUAAAAUACAAGCAAAUCAUACUGGAAAUAAUAAUAAUAAUAAUAAUAAUAAUAAUAAAGUCUAAAAAGAAUAAGGUAGGAUACAAGAUAAUAACUUUCAAAUUUACAUAUAUAUAUAUAUAUAUAUAUAUAUAUAUAUUUAGUUUUAAGAAAACAAAAUCUUUUAGCUUUUCAUUCUACUUGUAUCAUCACUUUUUGUUUUUGUUAGUAAAGAAUCCAGUGAAUUUUUUUUGUCAUAGGGGACGGACCAUCAAAAUUGCUUUAAUGUAGAAAAAAAAAAUUAGAAAUAUUGUUUUCUAACAAAUGAUGCCGAUGGUUGACAUCUUACAUAUUCAAUUCUUAGAGAAGAUGUAUAUAGUAAAUACUUUCUCCUCGUUGCUAUUGGUUGACACUUUCUCAUAGUCCUUUUAGUUGUAUAAUUCAUAAAAACAUUAUUAUUCUUCUUUAACCUUAAAUAAUAUGUUACCUUUUGAAUUUUCAAUAUCCUACCUAGUCUUGCCCAUUGGAAACUCUUAACUUGCAAAUUUAGCUAUGGUUCAAGUCAUAGAAGCCUAGCUUUGUAUCAUUUUCUUUCUCAUCUGUUUUUUUUUCAUAAAAAUGUGCUCUUAGUAUUAGAGACUCUAAAUUUAAAUCGUCAAUGAUUAUUUAAAUAACAAUUUGAUAAAUAGUUGUCGUCCUUCUAAAUUUAUAUUUUUUUAAAAAUUGAAUUCUUGAGUAGUUGAUAUAUGAAAUCAAAUCAAUGGACAUUAAUUAUAUUUAGCCAAGACAUCACAGAAAGGUAAAUGAAAUUAACCCCCGUAUAAUUAGGUUAAAAUAAUAAUAAUUUCAUUGAAAAAAAAAAAGGACAAUACAUACCAAUACAUGGAAAAAAAACUUGUAAAAUCAAUAAGAUAUAGAAUUUGGUGGAUGAAAAGCAAAGUGCAUAAGAUAAAAAUGAUAAAUCAACAUAUAUGAAUUAGUUAGAGGAGAUGACUUCUAUGACUCAAGAGAGUCAUGCCUGAAUUUGCAAGUUAGGAGUUUCCAAUACGGCAGGAUCAUUUUCUUGUCUUCUCUAAUUCCACAAAACUAUGCCCUCAUGACUGGAGCCUUGUUGUGCUCCACCUUAAGAAGUCAUUAUCUAAUAUUGACAGGCUUUUGGAUCUCAUUAUUUCACCAAGUGUUGAUCACUACUUUUCUGGUCUGGGACCAUUUCUUCCUUACAUUCAAAGAUGCUUUUCCAAUAAGAAAGAAAAGAAAAUGAAGAACUCGAAGUUUUUGAAAAAAUUUAAAGAAAAAUAGAAAGAAAAGAAAAAAUAAAUAUAAAGUUAAUAAGUUAUUUUUUAUUUGGGUUUUUAAACUCAUUCUACUUAUUUUUUAUUUUCUAUAUAAAGAUAAAAUAAAAUAAAAUAUUUAAAUUUUAAUUAAUUAUAAUUAUAUAUGAUUUUUUUUUCAAAGUGAAAUCAAACAAUAAAAAAUCAUUUUCUUCACAAUUUUUUUCCUUCUUUAGUACUUUCUUGAUAAGAUUUGUAUCCAUAAAUGCUAAUUAAGAAAACAUAAAAAUUGUAAUGUAUAUAUCUUUCUUUUAUGUUGGUACAAACACAUUGAUGAAUAUGUUUUAGAGUGAUUCAAAUUAUGAUGCACCGUUUUUAUACAAGUUUUAGAUGAAAAUCCAAUAUGAUUAGUAUCAUUUAGUGUUUGAUAUGAUAGAAAAAAAAAUAUUUAUUUGAUAUUAAAAUUAAAUAAUUAAUUGAAAAAUUAAGUGCUAAUCGACAACACUAUCUAUAUAGUUUUCCCCUCCCAAUUUAAAUCUUCAAUAAUUAUUUAAAUAACAAUUUGAUAAAUAGUUGUCUUCCUUUUAGAGUUAUAUUUCACUUUCAAUUCUAGUAUUAUUAAAAUUGAAUUCUUCAAUAGUUAAUGUAUAAAAUCUUUCUUCUCAUAAUUUUUUUUGACAAUUUAUUGCAAGUUAGAAGAUAAAAUGAAGGUAGUUCUGGAGUUUAAUUUAUAACAAAAGGGGUUAAAUGCCUCUUGAGAAUUGAAUAAAAUUAGACUAUUAGGUUCUAUUAAGUCAACUAUUACAUAUUAAAAAAACUAAAUCAUUACUAUUAUAAUUUAGGCUUUUUCUCACUUUCAAUGGUGAAUUAAAAUAUUAUGCAUUGAGAUUCAAAUACAUCACCUCUCACCAAACGGGGUUUAAUACCAUAUUUAAUUACCAAAAUUCUUAAAAUCUUAAGCUUGUAAAUUAACAAAAUACAUUAAUUAGGGUACUCAGGAAUAAUUAAAAUAUUUAAUCUAAUUUUUCAUGGACUUUUAUGGUCUUAAGAGAAGGUUCUAGUAGGUUUACUCUUAAUGUAAUUGAUAGUGAAUCGUUAUCUUUACCGUAUAAAUAUAAUUUUUUUAUUUAAUUAAUUAUUUAGAAGACUUAAAAGAUAGUUUUGGAGGAUGAUUUAUGAUGUUUAUUAUUAUAAUAUAUAUUUUAGGAAGAAAAUAUUUUUGGCGUGUUGUAAACUCUUUGAUUAGUCAUAUAUAUUCUUUUCAUAGUGUUGUCACUUUCUUGACUCAUAGAAGUCAAAGUCAAGUGACAUGUCUCAUCGAAUCAUUUAUUUUGAACUACACUUCAUCUAAUCAAUUUGAAAAAUUAGCACCUCCUUAAUAUAUUUAUUAUAUAAUUGGGGGAGUUUGAGAAGUAGGUUAUGAUGGUCAUAAAGACUAUAACAUAAAUUAAGAUUAUGUUUAUUUAUAGGAUUAAAAAGUGAGAUAUAAUUUUAAAAUUAUAUAUUUGCAUAUUUGGAUAUAAAAAGGACAAGAUAAUGAUCUAAAUAAGUUACUGAUCUAACAUUUUUUAUUUUUAAUCUUUUAUGGAUGAGAUUUAAAAAUUGUCUUCCUUAAUAGACAUCAAUGAAUUUUUCAUAAAAAGAAAAGGUACUUGAACUAAGAUUUUUUUCCUUGAAUAAAGGAAUAAAGGAAAAACGUACAUACUAUUUUUUUUUUUUAAAAUUAAUACUUAAGGAAGAAUGCUUUUCAAUGAAACUUAAAAGUUUUUUAUUAAAGAAAAAAUUGCUUUUUUUUAAACCAAAAGGAAACAUAUCUUUUUGGUUACUCGGAUAAAUAUAGUGGUUAAAAAACCAAAUGUUUCAGUCUAGGUUUUUAUUCUACAAUGGAGUACUUCACUACAAUGAACUUCCCCUUUCAAUUUAAAGAUUUUUUUUGUUUAGAAAAAAAAAAAUUGCUUUUAUCUAAACCAAAAGGCAAACGUUUAAUGUGCUGGAAAUUGUUACAAGAAAAGUCUUCUUUGGGUUUCUCUAAGUUGGAAAUUUCCAAGAAGUUUUCAGGGUGAAUCAUUUGCAUAUAAAUUGGAGUGUACCCAUCUCCAUUUCUCUCAUCUCACCACUCUAUCUCAAUUGCUUUGGGAAGAAUGAUGUCUAAACUCCUCCUCUAUUUUCUUUUCUUCCUCUCGUCCUCUCAACUUCUUUCCACCUCUUUCUCUUUCUCUAAUUCCACCAAACUCUGCCCUGGUCACCAAUCUCGUGCUCUGCUCCACCUUAGGAAAUCGUUUUCCGUUAUUGAUAAUUCCAGUUUUUGGGGAUGCGAUUACUAUGGUGUCACUUCUUAUCCGAAAACAGAGUCUUGGAAGAAGGGUAGUGAUUGUUGCUCAUGGGAUGGGGUCACAUGUGAUAGGGUGACAGGCCAUGUAAUUGGGCUAGACCUCAGUUGCAGUUGGCUCUAUGGCACCAUCCAUUCCAAUAGUACCCUCUUUCUUUUUCCCCACCUGCGAAGGCUUAACCUUGCUUUCAAUGACUUUAAUGGGUCUUCUGUUUCCACUAGGUUUGGCCGCUUCUCAAGCUUGACCCAUCUCAACCUCUCUGAAUCUCUAUUUUCAGGCCUAAUUUCACCAGAAAUUUCUCACCUCGCCAACUUGGUUUCACUCGAUCUGUCUGGGAAUGGAGCAGAAUUUGCCCCGCAUGGCUUCAAUUCUCUACUUCUAAAUUUAACCAAGUUGCAGAAGCUUCACCUUGGAGGUAUAUCCAUCUCUUCAGUUUUUCCUAAUUCCUUGCUAAAUCAGUCUUCUUUGAUAUCAUUAGAUCUCUCUGACUGUGGAUUGCAUGGGAGUUUCCAUGAUCAUGACAUUCAUCUUCCAAAACUUGAGGUUCUCAACUUAUGGGGAAAUAAUGCUCUCAAUGGAAAUUUCCCACGAUUCAGUGAGAACAAUUCCCUUUUAGAGUUGGUUCUAGCUUCCACAAAUUUCAGUGGAGAGCUUCCUGCUUCAAUUGGGAAUUUAAAGUCUUUAAAGACUUUGGAUCUCUCUAUUUGCCAAUUCUUAGGGUCCAUCCCCACUUCCCUAGAGAACCUUAAACAAAUCACAUCCUUGAACCUUAUUGGGAAUCAUUUUAGUGGUAAAAUUCCAAAUAUUUUUAAUAACCUUAGAAAUUUAAUUUCACUAGGACUUUCUAACAACAAUUUUAGUGGUCAUUUUCCACCAUCUAUUGGAAAUCUAACAAACCUUUAUGAGUUAGACUUCUCCAAUAAUCAGCUAGAAGGAGUCAUUCAUUCUCAUGUGAAUGAGUUUUCAUUUUCAAGUCUAUCCUAUGUCAACUUAGGAUAUAACUUGUUCAACGGGACAAUACCAUCUUGGUUGUAUACUCUGUCAUCGUUGGUGGUGUUAGAUCUUAGUCAUAACAAACUCACUGGUCAUAUUGAUGAAUUCCAAUUUGAUUCAUUGGAGAAUAUUUAUUUGAAUAUGAAUGAGUUACAUGGGCCAAUUCCAAGUUCAAUAUUUAAGCUUGUAAACCUUAGAUAUCUUUAUCUUUCUUCAAAUAACUUGAGUGAGGUUUUGGAGACAAACAAGUUUGGAAACCUUAGAAAUCUUAUUGAGCUUGAUCUCUCAAACAACAUGCUUUUAUUGACAACCUCUGGCAAUUCCAACUCCAUUUUACCUAACAUUGAGUCGCUAGACCUUUCAAACAAUAAGAUUAGUGGAGUAUGGUCAUGGAACAUGGGAAAUGAUACACUAUGGUACUUGAAUCUCUCUUAUAACUCAAUAAGUGGGUUUAAGAUGCUUCCAUGGAAAAAUAUAGGUAUUCUAGAUCUUCAUUCCAACUUGCUGCAAGGACCACUUCCAACUCCUCCAAAUUCUACAUUUUUCUUUUCAGUCUCCCAUAACAAAUUGAGUGGAGAAAUCUCAUCGUUGAUUUGCAGAGCGAGUUCCAUGGAAAUUCUUGAUUUGUCUGACAACAAUUUGAGUGGCAGGCUUCCUCAUUGUUUGGGAAAUUUUAGUAAAUAUCUCUCAGUUUUGAAUUUACGAAGGAAUCGAUUUCAUGGCAACAUUCCUCAAACAUUUUUAAAGGGCAAUGCUAUCAGGGAUCUUGAUUUCAACGAUAAUCAAUUGGAUGGCCUAGUACCUCGAUCUUUGAUCAUUUGUAGAAAACUUGAAGUUCUAGACCUUGGGAAUAAUAAGAUAAAUGAUACAUUUCCCCAUUGGUUGGGAACUCUUUCAAAGUUGCAAGUUCUUGUUUUGCGCUCUAAUAGUUUCCAUGGUCAUAUAAGGCAUUCCAAGAUCAAAUCCCCAUUCAUGAGCCUAAGAAUCAUUGAUCUUGCUCACAAUGAUUUUGAGGGUGACUUGCCUGAAUUGUAUUUGAGAAGUUUGAAAGCAAUAAUGAAUGUAAAUGAAGGCAACAUGACAAGAAAAUAUAUGGGGAACAAUUAUUAUCAAGAUUCCAUAAUGGUGACAAUCAAGGGGUUGGAGAUUGAAUUUGUGAAAAUCUUGAAUACUUUCACAACAAUUGAUUUAUCAAGCAAUAAAUUCCAAGGAGAGAUUCCCAAGUCCAUUGGAAAUCUUAAUUCCCUUCGAGGGCUCAAUUUGUCUCAUAACAACCUUGGAGGACAUAUUCCAUCACCUUUAGGGAAUUUGAAGUCGCUUGAAUCAUUGGACCUCUCUUCAAACAAGCUCAUUGGCAGAAUUCCUCAAGAAUUAACAAGUUUGACAUUUCUUGAAGUUUUGAAUCUUUCCCAAAAUAAUCUCACUGGUUUUAUACCUCGAGGCAAUCAGUUUGAGACAUUUGGAAAUGAUUCAUACAACGAGAACUCAGGGCUAUGUGGAUUUCCGUUGUCAAAGAAAUGCACAGCUGAUGAAACACUAGAGCCUUCAAAAGAAGCGAAUACAGAGUUUGAUGGUGGAUUUGAUUGGAAAAUCACAUUGAUGGGAUAUGGAUGUGGAUUGGUUAUUGGGUUGUCUCUUGGGUGUCUUGUUUUCUUAACUGGGAAACCUGAAUGGUUGACAAGGAUGGUAGAAGAGAACAUUCACAAGACGAUCACAAGGUCUAAAAGAAGUACUCGCAGGAAAGGAGCAAGAAGAAAGUAGCAUAUUCCAACCGCAUUGUAUUUUGUGCUACAUAUUACAAAUGGAUUUUACAUUUGUUAGCAAAUAAUCUACUUGUUAUUAUAAAAGUGUAAUAUUGUUUGUAAAAUUAAAAUAAUGUUUUUUUUCCCUUUUUUUCUUUUUUGCAAUAGUCAUUGGGUUCAAUAUUUUUCCAAUCAACAUGAUAACUUAAAAUUCAUCAAAGAGCAAUUUUUAUAUCUUAGAGAUUAAUCAAACACUAACGGAUAUUAAAGACUUAGUAGGAAUUUGGACAUACUUCUAAUUUUUAUUCUUUUUAAAAAAGAAAACUUUUAUACAAGUAGAGACUUACAUUAUGUUUUCAUAACUACUUUUUAAUUUAUUUUUAUUUUUUAAAUUUAAGAACACAAUGUUUUUAAAAUUUUAAAAAAUCUUUUAGAAAAUAUAAGAUAAAUCUCCUCUCUUGCUAAAAAAAAUGACUAGAUUUUAUAGAAGAGUUUAAAAACAAAAGACAAAAGACAAAAAGUGUUUCCAAACACCACUUUUUUUUUUCCCGAUAAUUCAUACUUUAUUAUUAUAUAGGGAAAGAUCAAUAAUAUGUUUAUAUUAAAUAUAUAUGGGUAUAUUAUAACAACUAGUAUUUUAUUUGAUUAAAACAUGUGUAGGAGCCACGACCGGGCCAAGUUCAAACCACGACAAGGCAUAACCAUUGCAACCAAAGCUCAAUUGGUAUUUCAUUUUUCAAAUAUAUGUUUUUCAGAAAUGUCAACUUGCUAUCUUUUCAUUUGAAAGAAUAUCAUUGUUAGUGAUCUAUGUUAAAUAUUUAAAUCAAUUCUAUAAUUGCUAUAGAUAUUUGAAGAAAAAAAACAUAAAUAAAUUAUAUAAUUUAACAUUUUUCAAUCAAUCUGACUUUAAUAAAUAAGGUUGAAGAUAAUAUUCAUUCAUUUUAUAUUUAUCUCUUACCAUUUUAAAAUAUUAAUAUUUAUUUUAAAAAUGUUAGUAUGCAUUAUAAUUUUUUAAAACAGUAUUAUUGAUUUUAAUAAAAAAAAUCUAAAUUCUAAUAUUCAUUUUUAAAAGUUGGUGAUUUCGGAAAUUUGUUUGUAAUAUUCAUGAAUUUAUACUCCUAUCUUUUUCUCAAAAUAAAUAACUAAAUAUUAUUAAUUUAUUAUGAAUAGUGUGAUUUUUAAAAUAUAAUAUUUGAUUAUUUAAUAAAAAUGUUGUUAUUUACCAUAACUUUUUAUUAAAAAAAUUAUUAUUUAUUAUUAAUUUGAAGAAAUAAAAUUUUAAUAUUUAUUUUAAUAAAAAAACCCAAUGAUAUUUUGUGGCCUUAUAAUAAUAAAGUUUAUUUUUAUUUUCACUUUCUAUUUAAAUAAUUAUUUAAAAAAUCUGAAACUAAAAUCAUAAAUAAAAUAAAAAAAUUGAAUCCAUUUUCAUUCACAUUUUUAUUUUAAUAUGUAUAGAAAUUUAAUCUAAUAAAAUUAAUUUUCAACAUUUAUUUUUAUUAUAUGAAAAGUCAAGUGAUCACCAUAUCUCUUUUAUUUAUUAUUAAACUCAGCUUCAAUUGUAAAUUUUAAAAAACAACCAAAUGUAUACAAUCUUGAGUAGGUCCACACUACUGCCACAUGCUUUAUUUUCAUUUUUUUAAAAAAUUUAUUUACUUCCACUAUUUUUUUUUAAUAAAUAAAUAAAUAUUAAUAUUUCUUAUUUGUGUGUUGGUUGUGAUUAAAUCUAUAGGUAGUUCGCAUUUUCUAAUUUUGAUUAGAUUUAUAAGACGAAAACAAACGCAUUUGGAUUGAGCAAGUUUGAGGAGAUAGGUGGAUUUGGGCCUAGAACAUGAUUCGAAGCUCAGUCCAGCCCAAACUGCACAUGUCUUAUUGGGUCUCAAUUUGGGCCUAUUGAGUUGACCUGGGCCAACCCGAUUCAAUUCAUAGUUGUAAUUGGCAUUAAACAAGGUUUAAUUUAUAAUUAAAUAUAAUAAAUAUAAGAGAAAAAAAUUUAAAAAAAUUAUUUUUUCAUGUUUGUUUAUUAUAAAAAAUAUAUAAGAGAAAAUAAAUAUAAUUAAAAUUAAUUAUAGAUUUAUUUAUUUUUAAAUCAUUUAAUCUUUAUAUAGAAGGAAAAAAAAAGUGAAAUGAGUUUAAAAAAGAAUAUAAAAAUAAUUUAUCAUAUUUAAAACUAUUUUUAAAAUUUUCUAUCAUUUUUUUUUUUUUUUAUCUCUUUUCAUUUUCUUACCUUGAUAUUUUUUCAAGAUAUUUCCUUUAUCAUUUUUCAUUAUUGACGGCAAAUCAAUGGUUGAUGCUUCAACACGGUUUUGUGGAAAGAUGAUCAAGAAGAAGACAUGGCAAAUCUGAAAAAGAUACUCCACUUCUUUCAAAUGACAAUUUUGUUUUUUUAUUCCUUUUUUAUUUAUCAUACUUUCUUUACUAAUAUAUCACUUUUCAAAGAAAAUAGUUAAUUUACACUAAUUACUUUUUAACUAUAUCCUCUUAUCAAUAAAGUGACAACAAUCUAUAUAAUUGUUUCUAGAUUUAGAACCUGUUUGAUAGUUAUUUUAAGAAUCUCUUUUAAUAUUUUUAUUAGUUAAAAAUUUUUAUCAUUCAAAUAUUAAAAAUGUUAAAAAAACUUUCUAAAAUAACUUCAAAAUGGGUUCUUAUUGGUCACAUUAUUUAUUUGACUAGAGGCCACAAGUACAAUAGUGUAAACUAACAAUGUCAUUAAUUAGGAUAUUUUGGAAUAACUAAAAUCCUUAAUCUAAUUUUUCAUGGAUUUUUUAUGGCCUUAAGAGGGAAUUGAUUGGUUAAGGAUUCAUAAGUUUACUAUUAAUGUAAUUUAGUAGCUAAUCACUAUCUUUAAGUUAAUAUAUAUAAAUUUUCUUUUAAAUUAAUUAUUUAGAAGACUCAAUUGAUAAUUUUGGAGGAUGAUUUAUUUAUUUAUUACAAAAGAUGCUUUAGAAAAAAAAUAUCUUUAUCGUGUUGCAAACUCUUAGAUAGUAUUGUCAUUUUAUUGAUUUAUAGAAGUCAAAGUCAAGAAACAUGUUUCAUCAAGUAAUUUAUUUUGUUUGUUUAAGAAGUUUCAAAGAAUCAAAGAAAAGAAAAAAAAAAAGUCAAAAAGCAAUGGUUGAAAAAUGAGAGAAGGGAAGUUUCUAUGAAUUUAUGAUUUAUAGAAAAGAAGGUCCCCACACGGUUUUAUUUAUGGUGGGUGCUAGUGCUAAUAAUAUUAUGAUUUUAAAUAGAAAAGAAAUAAAUUUAUGAUUAAUAAGUUUGUUCACACAUUUUUUAAAAUUUAUUUUUCUUCUUUUUUAUGUUUCACAAAAAAUAAAUUUUUUGAAAAGAUAUAAAUAUUUUAAUAAUUUGAAUUAUUAUUUUUCUUUGCAAUUUUAAAUUAUAUCAAAUAAUUAAUAUUAAAUUUCUUUUUAUUUUAAUUUUAAUCUUUUUAAUAUUUUCUUUGAUCCGAAGGCGUAAUUUCAUUUUCAAACUUUUUACGCAAAUAAUAUUACCAAAAAUCUUGUGAUAUUCUACAAUUAGUAAUACUAACUUACAAGGCAUAAAUUAUUAUUUUUUACUAAAUAAUUAUUACAAAAAGAGAAAAAUAAAAUUUAAAAUAUUUUAUUUUACAAUAAAGGCGAAUAAAAGAAAAUGGUAACCAUAUCAAUAUUUCAUGUUUCAUGUGUUUAUAUGGAUAGGUAAAAUAAAAUAAAAUAAAAUAAAUAUAAUUUCCUGCCCAUUUCCUUGCUUUUUCAUCUACUAUUGGUGGUCAAAGUUAUAAAUAUUUGUAUUUAUUUUUAUAAUUUUUAGAUAACAAGAGAAAAGAAGAAUAUAAAAAUAAUUUAUCACCUUUAAAUUUAUUUUCUUAUUUUAAUUUUAUGUCAUUUCUUAUUUUCUUUUAUUUUUCUUAGUAUUUUCUUUAAUACUUUUUAUAAACCAAACACAAACCUAAAAAAUAUUUUUAAAAUUUUUUAUUUUUUUAUUUAAACCAAAAAAUAAAAAUAUGUUUUUUAUUUCUCUUUUAUAAUAAAUAAAAUGAUUAGAAAAUCAAGCGCAUUGGUUUGAGUUUCCCCUUUCAUUUAUUUGAUCAAUAAAAUUCUACUUUAACUUUGCAAAUCCAGCCAUGACCAGUCAUAGAAGUCAAGCUCUUUGGGUCCUAGUAAUUGGCAUGCGGGAAAGAAAUUUCAACUGUGCCCAUCUCAUGCUCCUCUAUUCUAUUUUCUCCCAAGUUAUUAAUUUCCUCAUCUUUCUCUAAUUCCGCGAAAGGGUGCCUCAUUACCGAAGACUUGACUUCUUGUGGGCCAGCUUAAGAAAUCAUUUUUCAUUAGUGACCCUAAGUCAAUGGUUCAGGCUUUCUCAUGAUGAAACAUGUCUCAUCAUGUAAUUUAUUUUGAACCACAUUUUACAUAAUCAAUUUAAAAAAUUAGUAUAAUUACUUUAAUCCAUUCAUGACUUAAUUAAGGGGUUUUAGGAAUAAUAUCAGUACGUAGCUUUAAUUUGUUAAUUCUUGGAAUGUGGAAUUUUACCUUUUAUAAUAAUUUUGUUUAUGAAAUUUAUUUAUUAAUUUUUAAAAAGACUAAUAAGAAAUCUUUCUUUUUGCUUUCUUUGUUAUGAAGGCCAGUGUGCCCUGAAACCAAGUGCUCUGGUUUCAUUUCUCUUAUUUAUAAAAUUUCAUUUUUGUACUUCAAAUCUACAGGAUGUAUUUUGAUUUUAUUUUAUAGUCCCAAUCUAUACCAGUGCUGAUAAAAUAUAAUAAUUAAAACUCUAAUGAGCUGGAAACUGUAACAACAAAGGUCUUCUUUUGAUUGUUCCUGUUUAAGCUGGAAAUUUCCGAGAAGACAUUUGUUUAAGAUUUGUUAAAGUUAUUUUAAGUAGAUUAAGGAAAGUCAAUAAACUCAACUUAAAUUCAUAUUCAAUACCUAAUUUAUUUCAUUUAAUUGUGUUACUUUACUUUCAACAACACUUUACUUCCAACAAAAAGUAAAAAUACACAAAAUAAAAGUAAAAGUACUUUACUUUCAACAAAAAGAAUAAUGUUGUUACUAAAAUUUAUUUCAUUUCAUUUUGUUAAUGAGAUUAGGUCAUGAAAAUGUCGAAAAAUAAAAUAAAAUAAAAUGGUAGUUAUGAAAUUUUUUUUUUUAAAUUGAGUUGGAAGUUUCAACUUUCUCCGUUACAAACUAUUAGAAUUGAAUAUCAUUUUUAAAACUUAAAUUAAUUCAUAUUUUAUUUUUUCUGUUCUUUGGUUAUGUCUAAUGAUCAUAUAUGAAAAAUUGUAUAUAAUUAAAUUAUAUAAUUAUCAUAUAUAAAAUUUAAAAUUUGUUUUAUGAAAAAAAAUUAUUUAUAUUUAUAUCAAAAGACUUUCUAAGAAGUUUUAACAAGAAAAGUCUUCUCUAGUCCUCCAUUUGAGUUGGAAAUUUCCAAGAAAUUUUCCAUAAUGAAGAAGAGAAGGGUAAAGUUAGAGUGAAUCAUUUUCAUAUAAAGUGGAGAAUCCUCAUCACCAUUUCUCUCAUCCCACCUCACCCUCUCAAUUGCUUUUGGGAAGAAUGAUGUCUAAACGCCUCCUCCUCUAUUUUCUUUUCUUCCUCUCAUCCUCUCAGCUUCUUUCCUCCUCUUUCUCUUUCUCUAAUUCCACCAAACUAUGCCCGCAUCAGCAGGCUCUUGCUCUGCUCCACCUUAAGCAAUCCUUUUCUAUUGAUAAUUCCAGUUCUUGGGAUUGUGAUUCCAAUGGCAUCACUUCUUAUCCUAAAACAGAGUCUUGGAAGAAGGGUAGUGAUUGUUGCUCAUGGGAUGGGGUCACAUGUGAUUGGGUGACAGGCCAUAUAAUUGGGCUGGACCUCAGUUGCAGCUGGCUCUUUGGCAUCAUCCAUUCCAAUAGUACCCUCUUCCUCUUUCCUCACCUGCGAAGGCUCAACCUUGCUUCCAAUGACUUCAGUGGGUCCUCUGUUUCAGUUGGGUUUGGUCGCUUCUCAAGCUUGACGCAUCUCAAUCUCUCUGACUCUGGAUUUUCAGGCCUAAUUUCAUCAGAAAUCUCUCACCUCUCCAACUUGGUUUCACUUGAUCUUUCUUGGAAUUCUGAUGCAGAAUUUGCCCCGCAUGGCUUCAAUUCUCUGGUUCAAAAUUUAACCAAAUUGCAGAAGCUUCACCUUAGAGGUAUUUCCAUCUCUUCAGUUUUUCCUGAUUCCUUGCUAAAUCGGUCUUCUUUAAUAUCAUUAGAUCUCUCUUCAUGCGGAUUGCAUGGGAGAUUCCCUGACCAUGACAUUCAUUUUCCGAAACUCGAGGUUCUCGACUUACAAGGAAAUAAUGAUCUCAGUGGAAACUUCCCACGAUUCAGUGAGAACAAUUCCCUCAUGGAAUUGUAUUUAUCAUCCAAAAAUUUCAGUGGAGAGCUUCCUGCUUCAAUUGGAAAUCUAAAGUCUUUGCAGACUUUGUAUAUCUCCAAUUGCGAAUUCUCAGGGUCCAUCCCCGCUUCCCUAGAGAACCUUACACAAAUCACUUCCUUGAACCUCGAUGAGAAUCUUUUUAGUGGUAAAAUUCCAAAUGUUUUUAGUAACCUUAGAAAUUUAAUUUCAUUACACCUUCAUGGCAACAAUUUCAGUGGUCAGCUUCCAUCAUCAAUUGGAAAUCUAACAAACCUUCAGGGCUUAAACUUGUAUGAUAAUCAGCUAGAAGGAGUCAUUCCUUCUUUUGUAAAUGGGUUUUUAAGUCUAUCCUAUGUCGACUUAGGAUAUAACUUAUUCAAUGGGAUAAUACCAUCUUGGUUGUAUGCUCUACCAUCAUUGGUGGUAUUAUAUCUCGAUCAUAACAAACUCACUGGUCAUAUUGGUGAAUUCCAAUCUGAUUCAUUGGAGUUGAUUUGUUUGAAAAUGAAUAAGUUACAUGGGCCAAUUCCAAGUUCAAUAUUUAAGCUUGUAAACCUUAGAUAUCUUCAUCUUUCUUCAAAUAACUUGAGUGGUGUUUUGGAGACAAGCAACUUUGGAAAACUUAGAAACCUCACUUCGCUUGAUCUCUCAAACAACAUGCUCUCAUCGAUCACCUCUAGCAAUUCCAACUCCAUUUUACCCAGCAUUCAAAGGCUAGACUUUUCAAACAAUAACAUUAGUGGAGUAUGGUCAUGGAAUAUGGGAAAGAAUACACUGCAGUACUUGAAUCUCUCUUAUAACUCAAUAAGUGGGUUUGAGAUGCUCCCAUGGGAAAAUUUAUAUACUCUAGAUCUUCAUUCCAACUUGUUGCAAGGACCACUUCCAACUCUUCCAAAUUCUACAUUUUUCUUUUCAGUAUCCCAUAACAAAUUGAGUGGAGAAAUCUCAUCGUUGAUUUGCAAAGCGAGUUCCAUGAGAAUUUUUGAUUUGUCUAAUAACAACUUGAGUGGCGUGCUUCCUCAUUGUUUGGGGAAUUUUAGCAAAGAUCUUUUUGUUUUGAAUUUACGAAGGAAUCAAUUUCAUGGCAUCAUUCCUCAAACAUUUUUAAAGGGCAAUGCUAUCAGGAAUCUUGACUUCAACGAUAAUCAAUUGGAAGGCCCAGUACCUCGAUCUUUGAUCAUUUGUAGAAAACUUGAAGUUCUAGACCUUGGGAAUAAUAAGAUAAAUGAUACAUUUCCCCAUUGGUUGGGAACUCUUCCAGAGUUGCAAGUUCUUGUUUUGCGCUCUAAUAGUUUCCAUGGUCAUAUAGGGCGUUCCAAGAUCAAAUCCCCAUUCAUGAGCCUAAGAAUCAUUGAUCUUGCUCACAAUGAUUUCGAGGGUGAUUUGCCUGAAAUGUAUUUGAGAAGUUUGAAAGCAAUAAUGAAUAUAGAUGAAGGCAACAUGACAAGAAAAUAUAUGGGGGAAGAGUAUUAUCAAGAUUCCAUAGUGGUGACAAUCAAAAGGUUAGAGAUUGAAUUUGUGAAAAUCUUGAAUACUUUCACAACAAUUGAUUUAUCAAGCAAUAAAUUCCAAGGAGAGAUUCCCAAGUCCAUUGGAAAUCUUAAUUCACUUCGAGGGCUCAAUUUGUCUCAUAACAACCUUGCAGGACAUAUCCCAUCAUCUUUUGGGAAUUUGAAGUUGCUUGAAUCAUUAGACCUCUCUUCAAACAAGCUCAUUGGGAGAAUUCCUCAAGAAUUAACGAGUUUGACAUUUCUCGAAGUUUUGAAUCUUUCCCAAAACCAUCUUACUGGAUUUAUACCUCAAGGUAAUCAGUUUGACACUUUUGGAAAUGAUUCAUACAAUGAGAACUCAGGGUUGUGUGGAUUUCCAUUGUCAAAGAAAUGCAUAAUUGAUGAAACACCAGAGUCUUCAAAGGAAACGGAUGCAGAGUUUGAUGGUGGAUUUGAUUGGAAAAUCACAUUGAUGGGAUAUGGAUGUGGAUUGAUAAUUGGGUUAUCUCUUGGGUGUCUCAUUUUCUUAACUGGGAAACCUAAAUGGUUGACAACGAUGGUCGAAGAGAACAUUCACAAGAAGAUCACAAGGUCUAAAAAAGGUACUUGUAGAAGAGGAGCAAGAAGAAAGUAGCAUAUUCCAACCGCAUUGUAUUUUGUGCUACAUAUUAU
RNAcentral lists this long non-coding RNA (19166 nucleotides) under Vitis vinifera (wine grape). RNAcentral describes it as "long non-coding RNA (VVIN_LNC006344)". Lineage: Eukaryota; Viridiplantae; Streptophyta; Magnoliopsida; Vitales; Vitaceae. The record is from RNAcentral.